This 498-nucleotide ribosomal RNA is filed under the name uncultured bacterium. Its description in RNAcentral is "bacterial SSU rRNA". It matches the Rfam family "Bacterial small subunit ribosomal RNA", at positions 28 to 517 of the family's 1533-position model. The record is from RNAcentral.
GAUGAACGCUAGCUACAGGCUUAACACAUGCAAGUCGAGGGGCAGCAUGAACUUAGCUUGCUAAGUUUGAUGGCGACCGGCGCACGGGUGAGUAACACGUAUCCAACCUUCCGUUUACUCAGGGAUAGCCUUUCGAAAGAAAGAUUAAUACCUGAUAGUAUGGUGAGAUUGCAUGAUAACACCAUUAAAGAUUUAUUGGUAAACGAUGGGGAUGCGUUCCAUUAGGUAGUAGGCGGGGUAACGGCCCACCUAGCCUGCGAUGGAUAGGGGUUCUGAGAGGAAGGUCCCCCACAUUGGAACUGAGACACGGUCCAAACUCCUACGGGAGGCAGCAGUGAGGAAUAUUGGUCAAUGGGCAGAGCCUGAACCAGCCAAGUAGCGUGAAGGAUGAAGGUCCUACGGAUUGUAAACUUCUUUAUACGGGAAUAAAGUUUCCUACGUGUAGGAUUUUGUAUGUACCGUAUGAAUAAGCAUCGGCUAACUCCGUGCCAGCAGCCG